UACAGAGGUCUCAAGCGUUGUUCGGAUUCAUUGGGCGUAAAGGGUGCGCAGGCGGCGUGGAAAGUUGAGUGUGAAAUCCCGGGGCUUAACCCCGGAACUGCACUCAAUACUCCCAUGCUAGAGGAAUGUAGAGGAGAGUGGAAUUCACGGUGUAGCAGUGAAAUGCGUAGAUAUCGUGAGGAAGACCAGUUGCGAAGGCGACUCUCUGGGCAUUUCCUGACGCUCAUGCACGAAGGCCAGGGGAGCAAACGGGAUUAGAUACCCCGGUAGUCCUGGCAGUAAACGGUGCACGUUUGGUGUGGGCGGGCUCAGACCCCGUCCGUGCCGGAGCUAACGCGUUAAACGUGCCGCCUGGGAAGUACGGUCGCAAGAUUA
Molecule: ribosomal RNA, 375 nt
Filed under: uncultured prokaryote
Description: bacterial SSU rRNA
Rfam family: Bacterial small subunit ribosomal RNA
Source: RNAcentral